GUGGGGAAUCUUCCGCAAUGGACGAAAGUCUGACGGAGCAACGCCGCGUGAGUGAAGAAGGUUUUCGGAUCGUAAAGCUCUUUCGUUAGGGACGAACGUGCUCUUUGUGAAUAAUGAGGAGUAAUGACGGUACCUAAAUAAGAAGCCACGGCUAACUACGUGCCAGCAGCCGCGGUAAUACGUAGGUGGCAAGCGUUGUCCGGAAUUAUUGGGCGUAAAGCGCGCGCAGGCGGGAUAUCAAGUCUGUCUUAAAAGUGCGAGGCUCAACCUCGUGAGGGGACAGAAACUGGUAUUCUUGAGUGUCGGAGAGGAAAGUGGAAUUCCAAGUGUAGCGGUGUAAUGCGUAGAGAUUUGGAAGAACACCAGUGGCGAAGGCGACUUUCUGGACGAUGUCUGACGCUGAGGCGCGAAAGCUAGGGGAGCGAACGGGAUUAGAAACCCCAGUAGUCC
This 450-nucleotide ribosomal RNA is filed under the name uncultured bacterium. RNAcentral's name for it is "partial 16S ribosomal RNA". It matches the Rfam family "Bacterial small subunit ribosomal RNA", at positions 354 to 796 of the family's 1533-position model. The record is from RNAcentral.